Long non-coding RNA from Oryzias latipes (Japanese medaka), 1598 nucleotides. RefSeq lists it as uncharacterized. The record is from RefSeq and is a predicted model, not a curated record. Lineage: Eukaryota; Metazoa; Chordata; Actinopteri; Beloniformes; Adrianichthyidae.
UUGACCCCAGCGGCCCGAAUCACGUGGUUUGGCGAUAUAAGCAAAACCCCGGCGGAGUGGCUUCAUUCAGUGGAGUAAAAUCCAGGGAAUUUUGUCAUGUUUCUGUCAGGGACAUGAAAUCCAGCUCACGGUUAAUGAGGAUAUCUUGGACAAUAUCUUACCCUUGGAUGUGAGGGAGCAAAUUUUCAGGAGACCGAAGUUGACAGAUAUGCGGGGGAGAUUGUUAGCCAUCAUGUUGUUAGCCGAGCGAGCAAGAGGAGCUAGUAGGACACUGUGUUAGCAUGGCGACCGGUGUGUCUUGACGGACGGUGAGCAGAUGACCAGAGUGACUUGAUGGAGUUGGUGUUGUCGUAAUGGAAGUUCCGACGUGAUCCUCGAUUAGUUUAUAUCUCCGGCGGGGCACGUAUAAUGUCUGGAAUCGGAUAUCAUGUUGGAGGAGCUAACACGCGGCGGUGGCCCGGGCGGAGAGUACCGCGGGUUAGCAAGUUCAUCAGCAGAGUUGUACUUGUAGUGCUGUCGAAAUUGGCUGGACAAGUGACAGAAACAACAUGCCGGACUGUCAGUAGCUCAGGAAGAAGCUGAAGAAGAAGAGAGGGCAGAGAGCGUAUGCCUGCCAGUGCAGCUGGUUCUCUGCUUCAGAGCCUGCUGACCUCAGGGAUCAGCCUCAGCUCCGAUGGGUCUGUGGCAAACACCCGGACUGACUGCUCACCUCAAUCUACUUUCUAAACUCUCCAUCCAUCCAUCCAUCCAUUUAUCCAUCCAUCCUUGAGACGUCGUUGUGAAAGGAAGAACUUAUCCUUGGCCUCUAUUGUCAGCAAGACUAAAAACAUUGUUUUCCAUCUAUCUGUCGAGGAGGAUUCUUGAAGCAUUUCCAGACUGUACAAAAAAUCUGAAUCUGUGCAUCUCACACCCAUUCAUCGAUGGCUGAUUUCAAAAUAUCUCUUCCUGCGUCUUCCUCUUUUUGGAAGAGGUAUUUGGACACAAAUAUCUGGAACUUCAAACUUUCUGAAAAUGUUGUGACUGCUGCCCAACUGUGACACAUUGUGAUUUUCUACUCCUGCUCUUUAAACAAAUCUGUCUCCUGCCUGUACUGGAAUAAAAUAUAUCUGAUGAGGAACAUGAAACAUUUUUUCUUUACAUUUCUAAAGCUUCUGAACUCCAGACGUUUAUUUUUUUUAUAUGUCUCAUAAACUUGAGCAUUUGAGUUUAAAAAUGGAGGUAGUGAAGAAAUGUCAAAAAUUAAAAGUUUUAUAUAAUCUUUUUAGCUUCUGCUUCUUAUUGGAAACUUUCAGUGUUGACAGUGUAAUAGAUUUUGUAAUUUUAGUUCAAUUAAAAACUAUUGGCACUUUCCUAUAAAGUUCUUGGAUUUACCUUAUAGGAGUUUGGCCUGCAGACAGAAUGGUUCCUUCCAGUCCGGUCAACUAAGAAAUAAAACACAAAUAAAACUACAUUAAAUAUUUUUCAUUUAGUUCAUUUUCAUUCUCUCAGUCCAAGGUAUUUUUGAUGUAUUUUAAAUUUGUACAUUUUCUGAAACAGAUAUAUGGAGUUUGCAUUCUUCUGAUUGUCGAAUAAUAAAUUCCUCAUGUUGAGCCCCUGAA